Molecule: long non-coding RNA, 228 nt
Organism: Hippocampus zosterae (dwarf seahorse)
Lineage: Eukaryota; Metazoa; Chordata; Actinopteri; Syngnathiformes; Syngnathidae
Exons: 2
Source: RefSeq, a predicted model, not a curated record
UCAGCACGCCUGCCUCCCCCUGGUGGCCACUCCGUGCAAUUCAUCAGCGGCGCUGCCUUGCUUGCCAAUGACGACGCAGGACUUUGCAUCAACUCGCCGACUUGAGGUUGACGGUGCGCCCCCUGCUGGUCACCGUGCAUUUCAUCCGCAUGAAGAAAUCCCGCUUGGUGCUCUGCUCUUUGCUCUUCUUCCCGAAGCUGUUGGCUAGGAACAAAAAAAAAAAUAAAA